RNAcentral lists this long non-coding RNA (945 nucleotides) under Bos indicus x Bos taurus (hybrid cattle). RNAcentral's name for it is "lncRNA (ENSBIXG00005017532.1)". Lineage: Eukaryota; Metazoa; Chordata; Mammalia; Artiodactyla; Bovidae. The record is from RNAcentral.
UGUGGGUGAUGGACAGGGAGACCUGGCGUGCUGCGAUUCAUGGGGUCACAAAGAGUUGGACACGACUGAGCGACUGAACUGAACUGAUAAGCCUGGGGCUUGGUUGGCCAGGCCCCCUCCAGGUUCUCAACAAUCUCAAGAUUCCGCCCCCAUCUUAUCUAUGGUGCUGCACGUCUUGCACUCACAGCAGGCAGUCACUCCCAGUCACUCCCAGUCAGGGCAGUGUCCAGGCAGGUUAGAAGCAAGGUCAGAGAUCUGCUCUGCUUUGUCUCUGAAGCCUAUACAAGACUAUUCAUUAAAUUUCCCUAACACUGGAACGUGCAGUAGCUCUAUGUUUGAAAUUUUGAGAAACUACCACACAUUUUCAAAGUGGCUGUACCAUUUUACAUUCUCACCAGGAACCCAAGAGGACUGCAGGUUCUCCACAUCUUCAGCGACAUUUGUUAUCUAUCUUUUUGAUGAUUGCCAUACUCAGGGUGUGAUAUCACUUGCUUUUUAAUUUAGGGUGCGUUGAAUAUUUGUCCAUAUCAGCACUUAUAGAUUUCUUGCAUAUAUAACCACAUGUAAUAUUCCACAGAGACCAUCCUUUUCAAGAUGAUCCUGUCCUGUACCACUCUGCUCUUUCCUCCCCCAGGGCUCAGCAGCAUGGACACAGAAACAGCAGUGGUGGCUGAUUGCAUUGAUCCAGAUUUGGAAGUUGUGUGGCAGUUAAAGCAGAAGGAUAAGACUGCUCUCUACCAAGAUCUCCAGAGCCUCACAUCGGUCAGUGCCCCCAAAGAGGCAGAGUCCGGCUUCAGGCCUCUAGCCUUCUCUCUUUUGGGGAAGAAAAUACCUCUACUCCGAAGGCAGCCAGCACAUAUUUUACUCACAACAGUCAGCAGAUGGCUGUGGAUCCCAGGAAUCACAUCAGGACAAAGCUCGCUGUGCAUUUUCCAUCACUGGUAG